UAUCUUUUUAAUAUUAACGAUGCUUUGGUUCGUUCUUACAAGAUCCAAAGAAGACCAAACUACAGCUUCUACAAAAAGAACAUAUGUCGUUCACCUGGGUGGUUAUUUAGAAAGAUAAAUUCCAGUGAUGUUAUUAAAUAUGCGUCUAAUGUAAGCACCGCAAGGAGGGGAAGUUGACUCUGGCCACCCUCCAAUUUAGUAGCAUUAGUUUUCAAAGAGAAAUUAUGAGAAAUAACACGUCAACUAAAAACGAAAUAAAACCAAUAGACGCUCAUGUGUGAAUAAAGACGUUGUGCCAAUUGUAUGGGUCAUCCAUGCAAAUUGGGUGACGCCAUCACUAGAAGAGAGCAUGUUGCUACUUAUUUACU
RNAcentral lists this long non-coding RNA (368 nucleotides) under Helianthus annuus (common sunflower). RNAcentral's name for it is "sRNA HanXRQr2_Chr07g0307581". The record is from RNAcentral. Lineage: Eukaryota; Viridiplantae; Streptophyta; Magnoliopsida; Asterales; Asteraceae.